Molecule: ribosomal RNA, 253 nt
Filed under: uncultured bacterium
Lineage: Bacteria
Description: partial 16S ribosomal RNA
Rfam family: Bacterial small subunit ribosomal RNA
Source: RNAcentral
UACAGAGGUGGCAAGCGUUGUUCGGAAUUACUGGGCGUAAAGGGCGCGUAGGCGGUUCGUUAAAUCCUGUGUGAAAUCCCCCGGCUCAACUGGGGAACUGCACAGGAAACUAGCGGGCUUGAGUUCGGGAGAGGGAAGCGGAAUUCCGGGUGUAGCGGUGAAAUGCGUAGAUAUCCGGAGGAACACCGGUGGCGAAGGCGGCUUCCUGGACCGACACUGACGCUGAGGCGCGAAAGCUAGGGGAGCAAACGGG